CAAUAGCGUAUAUUAAAGUUGUUGCAGUUAAAAAGCUCGUAGUUGGAUUUCUGGUGGGAGCGAUCGGUCUGGCGCUUAGCGCGAGUACUUGCAUCGUCUCCGGCCAUCCUUGGGGAGAGUCUGUCUGGCAUUAGGUUGUCGGGCAGAGGAUCCUCAUCGUUUACUGUGAAAAAAUUAGAGUGUUCAAAGCAGGCUUAUGCCGUUGAAUAUAUUAGCAUGGAAUAAUAAGAUAGGACUUUGGUACUAUUUUGUUGGUUUGCGCACCAAAGUAAUGAUUAAUAGGGACAGUUGUGGGUAUUCGUAUUCCGUUGUCAGAGGUGAAAUUCUUGGAUUUACGGAAGACGAACUACUGCGAAAGCAUUUACCAAGGAUGUUUUCAUUAA
Molecule: ribosomal RNA, 383 nt
Filed under: uncultured eukaryote
Lineage: Eukaryota
Description: partial 18S ribosomal RNA
Rfam family: Eukaryotic small subunit ribosomal RNA
Source: RNAcentral